UACGUAGGGGGCUAGCGUUGUCCGGAAUCAUUGGGCGUAAAGAGCGUGUAGGCGGCCCGGUAAGUCCGCUGUGAAAGUCGGGGGCUCAACCCUCGAAUGCCGGUGGAUACUGUCGGGCUUGAGUGCGGAAGAGGCGAGUGGAAUUCCUGGUGUAGCGGUGAAAUGCGCAGAUAUCAGGAGGAACACCAAUUGCGAAGGCAGCUCGCUGGGACGUAACUGACGCUGAGACGCGAAAGCGUGGGGAGCAAACAGG
RNAcentral lists this ribosomal RNA (253 nucleotides) under uncultured bacterium. RNAcentral describes it as "partial 16S ribosomal RNA". It matches the Rfam family "Bacterial small subunit ribosomal RNA", at positions 524 to 776 of the family's 1533-position model. The record is from RNAcentral.